Molecule: ribosomal RNA, 465 nt
Filed under: Vreelandella stevensii
Lineage: Bacteria; Pseudomonadati; Pseudomonadota; Gammaproteobacteria; Oceanospirillales; Halomonadaceae
Description: partial 16S ribosomal RNA
Rfam family: Bacterial small subunit ribosomal RNA
Source: RNAcentral
CCUACGGGGGGCAGCAGUGGGGAAUAUUGGACAAUGGGGGGAACCCUGAUCCAGCCAUGCCGCGUGUGUGAAGAAGGCCCUCGGGUUGUAAAGCACUUUCAGUGAGGAAGAACGCCUGGUGGUUAAUACCCAUCAGGAAAGACAUCACUCACAGAAGAAGCACCGGCUAACUCCGUGCCAGCAGCCGCGGUAAUACGGAGGGUGCGAGCGUUAAUCGGAAUUACUGGGCGUAAAGCGCGCGUAGGUGGCUUGAUAAGCCGGUUGUGAAAGCCCCGGGCUCAACCUGGGAACGGCAUCCGGAACUGUCAAGCUAGAGUGCAGGAGAGGAAGGUAGAAUUCCCGGUGUAGCGGUGAAAUGCGUAGAGAUCGGGAGGAAUACCAGUGGCGAAGGCGGCCUUCUGGACUGACGCUGACACUGAGGUGCGAAAGCGUGGGUAGCAAACAGGAUUAGAUACCCCUGUAGUC